This 548-nucleotide long non-coding RNA is filed under the name Vombatus ursinus (common wombat). RNAcentral's name for it is "lncRNA (ENSVURG00010024772.1)". The record is from RNAcentral. Lineage: Eukaryota; Metazoa; Chordata; Mammalia; Diprotodontia; Vombatidae.
CGGAGAGGUCCCCGCAAUGUCGACCAGCCCCCAAGGGUCUGUGAGGUUUGGGGGGCACCCUGGUUCUUGAAAGGAAUGACGGUAGGGGGAGUGAUUCAUUUCUGGUUUGAUGAGGUUUCAGGGUGGCAUCAGAAGUCUGGGUCUUUGAUUGGGUUGGUCCGUAGCAGAGGGGCAAGUGUGAGAAGGAGAGGAUAGUGAAAGGGGGAUCUCUUAUUCUCUCUGGGUCUCAGUGUCUCUCCCAGGAUGAAGCCUGCACCGGCAGUGGAAGCAGGGAAGAGGUCAUUGGAGAAAGUCCCCAUAUACACACCCUGUCCCAGCCCAUCAUUGUCACUGUGCCCCAACCCCUCCAUAGACCCCCUCGCAUUCCCCCUGCUCCAUCCCCACCAAGGGCAGCCCCCAGUGGAUCUCCAAGUCCCUCCCAGCCUAGGAGACCUCAGUGAGAGCAGAGUCCUGCUUCUACAGGCAGAGCCCAGCAGGAGCCCCAUCCUCUCUCCCCUCCGGAAACACUGCCUCCAUGUCUCUCUCUCCCUAGGAUUUCCAAACCUGAA